Molecule: ribosomal RNA, 432 nt
Filed under: uncultured bacterium
Lineage: Bacteria
Description: partial 16S ribosomal RNA
Rfam family: Bacterial small subunit ribosomal RNA
Source: RNAcentral
AGCGAACGCUGGCGGCAGGCUUAACACAUGCAAGUCGAGCGGGCACUUCGGUGUCAGCGGCAGACGGGUGAGUAACACGUGGGAACGUACCCUUUGGUUCGGAAUAACGCUGGGAAACUAGCGCUAAUACCGGAUACGCCCUUUUGGGGAAAGGCUUGCUGCCGAAGGAUCGGCCCGCGUCUGAUUAGCUAGUUGGUGGGGUAAUGGCCUACCAAGGCGACGAUCAGUAGCUGGUCUGAGAGGAUGAUCAGCCACACUGGGACUGAGACACGGCCCAGACUCCUACGGGAGGCAGCAGUGGGGAAUAUUGGACAAUGGGCGCAAGCCUGAUCCAGCCAUGCCGCGUGAGUGAUGAAGGCCUUAGGGUUGUAAAGCUCUUUUGUCCGGGACGAUAAUGACGGUACCGGAAGAAUAAGCCCCGGCGAACUUCGU